This 310-nucleotide ribosomal RNA is filed under the name uncultured bacterium. Its description in RNAcentral is "partial 16S ribosomal RNA". It matches the Rfam family "Bacterial small subunit ribosomal RNA", at positions 503 to 807 of the family's 1533-position model. The record is from RNAcentral.
AAGAGACAGCAGCCGCCACGGGAAUACGAAGGGGGCUAGCGUUGUUCGGAUUUACUGGGCGUAAAGCGCACGUAGGCGGAUCGAUCAGUCAGGGGUGAAAUCCCAGAGCUCAACUCUGGAACUGCCUUUGAUACUGUCGAUCUGGAGUAUGGAAGAGGUGAGUGGAAUUCCGAGUGUAGAGGUGAAAUUCGUAGAUAUUCGGAGGAACACCAGUGGCGAAGGCGGCUCACUGGUCCAUUACUGACGCUGAGGUGCGAAAGCGUGGGGAGCAAACAGGAUUAGAUACCCCCGUAGUCCCUGUCUCUUAUAC